This is a long non-coding RNA of Capsicum annuum, 370 nucleotides long. RefSeq lists it as uncharacterized. The transcript has 3 exons. NCBI's taxonomy places the organism in Eukaryota, Viridiplantae, Streptophyta, Magnoliopsida, Solanales, Solanaceae. The record is from RefSeq and is a predicted model, not a curated record.
CAAGACAGAACAUGAUGUAUAGCAAGAAAGACUAGCAUUAACUGCUUCCAAAUGCCUUUGCACUAUCCAAGGUAUACCAAAAAGACUGCCAACAUAUACCUGAGUGGAUGAUUGACAAAAGUACUAAAGUAUCAAAGAGGACUACCAUUUCACUAUAUCUUACCAGCCAACUUUUGCUGACAAAAGUACAUGAGUAGCUCUGUUUAGAAUAGGUGCAUCAAACAAUAUUCCACUACAUAGAGAGUUGACCUUGCCGUUAGUGCCAAGGUACCCUAAUCCUAAACAACUAGAAAGUCAAUCAAAAGAGAGUAAUAAGGCGAGCCACUAUUGACUUAUUUGAUCAAGGGGUUCAAAGUCAGUAACAAAGCAG